AUCGAACGCUGGCGGCAGGCCUAACACAUGCAAGUCGAAUGGUAACAGGAAACAGCUUGCUGUUUCGCUGACGAGUGGCGGACGGGUGAGUAAUGUCUGGGAAACUGCCUGAUGGAGGGGGAUAACUACUGGAAACGGUAGCUAAUACCGCAUAACGUCGCAAGACCAAAGAGGGGGACCUUCGGGCCUCUUGCCAUCAGAUGUGCCCAGAUGGGAUUAGCUAGUAGGUGGGGUAACGGCUCACCUAGGCGACGAUCCCUAGCUGGUCUGAGAGGAUGACCAGCCACACUGGAACUGAGACACGGUCCAGACUCCUACGGGAGGCAGCAGUGGGGAAUAUUGCACAAUGGGCGCAAGCCUGAUGCAGCCAUGCCGCGUGUAUGAAGAAGGCCUUCGGGUUGUAAAGUGCUUUCAGCGGGGAGGAAGGGAGUAAAGUUAAUACCUUUGCUCAUUGACGUUACCCGCAGAAGAAGCACCGGCUAACUCCGUG
RNAcentral lists this ribosomal RNA (490 nucleotides) under uncultured bacterium. Its description in RNAcentral is "partial 16S ribosomal RNA". It matches the Rfam family "Bacterial small subunit ribosomal RNA", at positions 30 to 507 of the family's 1533-position model. The record is from RNAcentral.